AGUGAACGCUGGCGGUAGGCCUAACACAUGCCAGUCGAACGGCAGCACAGUAAGAGCUUGCUCUUACGGGUGGCGAGUGGCGGACGGGUGAGGAAUACAUCGGAAUCUACUUUUUCGUGGGGGAUAACGUAGGGAAACUUACGCUAAUACCGCAUACGACCUACGGGUGGAAGCAGGGGAUCUUCGGACCUUGCGCGAUUGAAUGAGCCGAUGUCGGAUUAGCUAGUUGGCGGGGUAAAGGCCCACCAAGGCGACGAUCCGUAGCUGGUCUGAGAGGAUGAUCAGCCACACUGGAACUGAGACACGGUCCAGACUCCUACGGGAGGCAGCAGUGGGGAAUAUUGGACAAUGGGCGCAAGCCUGAUCCAGCCAUACCGCGUGGGUGAAGAAGGCCUUCGGGUUGUAAAGCCCUUUUGUUGGGAAAGAAAAGCAGCAGGUUAAUACCCCGCUGUUCUGACGGUACCCAAAGAAUAAGCACCGGCUAACUUCGU
RNAcentral lists this ribosomal RNA (491 nucleotides) under uncultured bacterium. RNAcentral describes it as "partial 16S ribosomal RNA". It matches the Rfam family "Bacterial small subunit ribosomal RNA", at positions 29 to 506 of the family's 1533-position model. The record is from RNAcentral.